UACGUAGGGUGCGAGCGUUGUCCGGAAUUAUUGGGCGUAAAGAGCUCGUAGGCGGUGUGUCACGUCGGCCGUGAAAACCUGCAGCUUAACUGUGGGCGUGCGGUCGAUACGGGCAUCACUGGAGUUCGGCAGGGGAGACUGGAAUUCCUGGUGUAGCGGUGAAAUGCGCAGAUAUCAGGAGGAACACCGGUGGCGAAGGCGGGUCUCUGGGCCGAUACUGACGCUGAGGAGCGAAAGCAUGGGGAGCAAACAGG
RNAcentral lists this ribosomal RNA (254 nucleotides) under uncultured bacterium. Its description in RNAcentral is "partial 16S ribosomal RNA". It matches the Rfam family "Bacterial small subunit ribosomal RNA", at positions 524 to 776 of the family's 1533-position model. The record is from RNAcentral.